RNAcentral lists this transfer RNA (112 nucleotides) under Shimia sp. RNAcentral describes it as "tRNA-OTHER". Lineage: Bacteria; Pseudomonadati; Pseudomonadota; Alphaproteobacteria; Rhodobacterales; Roseobacteraceae. The record is from RNAcentral.
GGAAUGUCCUUAUUUUAUUGGUCUGGUCCUUUCGGACAUAGCCUCAAAUACGGUCUCGAAAACCGUUGAGCCUUCACGGGUUCCCAGGGUUCGAAUCCCUGUCUCUCCGCCA